UACGUAGGGUGCGAGCGUUGUCCGGAAUUAUUGGGCGUAAAGAGCUCGUAGGCGGUUCAGUAAGUCGGGUGUGAAAACUCUGGGCUUAACCCAGAGACGCCACCCGAUACUGCUGUGACUUGAGUACGGUAGGGGAGCAGGGAAUUCCUGGUGUAGCGGUGAAAUGCGCAGAUAUCAGGAGGAACACCGGUGGCGAAGGCGCUGCUCUGGGCCGAAACUGACGCUGAGGAGCGAAAGCGUGGGGAGCGAACAGG
This 254-nucleotide ribosomal RNA is filed under the name uncultured bacterium. Its description in RNAcentral is "partial 16S ribosomal RNA". It matches the Rfam family "Bacterial small subunit ribosomal RNA", at positions 524 to 776 of the family's 1533-position model. The record is from RNAcentral.